GGCGGCCAAUGUGUCCGCACUUGUCGGCCUCCCCAGGUGACUCGCGGCCCCGGCAAACGAGCUGCGAGGGAGCGAGCGCGCCCCAGAUGCCUAGACGUAGAUAAACCAGGGCUUGUUUAAAGGCCACGCGUGUCAUCAGGGACCCAGGCUCUUGCCAGCUUGUUGCUCCGCCUUCUCUUCACCUCAGAGUCCUCGAAGGCUGCUGGAGGCCUGCCAUCACCGUUGCUCUCCAGGCUGCUGGGUAGAAGGAGGACC
Myotis daubentonii (Daubenton's bat) is the source of this 255-nucleotide long non-coding RNA. RefSeq lists it as uncharacterized. Lineage: Eukaryota; Metazoa; Chordata; Mammalia; Chiroptera; Vespertilionidae. The record is from RefSeq and is a predicted model, not a curated record.